RNAcentral lists this ribosomal RNA (883 nucleotides) under uncultured bacterium. RNAcentral's name for it is "bacterial SSU rRNA". It matches the Rfam family "Bacterial small subunit ribosomal RNA", at positions 28 to 897 of the family's 1533-position model. The record is from RNAcentral.
GAUGAACGCUAGCGGCAGGCUUAAUACAUGCAAGUUGAGGGGCAGCAUGAUAUACGCAAGUAUAUUGAUGGCGACCGGCGGACGGGUGAGUAAAAGGUAGGAGACCUACCUCAUACAGGGGGAUAGCAUAGAGAAAUCUGUGGUAAUACCCCAUGAGGUUAUAUGAAUAGAGGCAUAUAAUCAAAGUAUACGAGAGUAUGCGGUAUGAGAUGGGCCUACUGACCAUUAGCUAGUUGGUGAGGUAAGGGCUCACCAAGGCGAAGAUGGUUAGGGGUUUUGAGAGAGAGAUCCCCCACAUUGGAACUGAGAUACGGUCCAGACUCCUACGGGAGGCAGCAGUAGGGAAUAUUGGGCAAUGGGCGAAAGCCUGACCCAGCCAUGCCGCGUGAAGGAAGACGGCCUUAUGGGUUGUAAACUUCUUUACUAUACGAAUAGAGGUUAGUACGAGUUACUAAUAGGAAGGUAGUAUAGCAAAAAGCACCGGCUAACUCCGUGCCAGCAGCCGCGGUAAUACGGAGGGUGCAAGCGUUAUUCGGAAUUACUGGGUUUAAAGGGUGCGUAGGCGGUUAUAUAAGUUGUCAGUGAAAGGCUACGGCUCAACUGUAGUAGUGCUGGCGAUACUGUAUAACUAAGAACAUGGGAGGGGUACCUGGAAUGUGUGGUGUAGCGGUGAAAUGCAUAGAUAUCACACAGAACACCGGAGGCGAAGGCGGGGUACUAGACCAUAGUUGACGCUGAGGCACGAAAGCGUGGGGAGCAAACAGGAUUAGAUACCCUGGUAGUCCACGCCCUAAACGAUGAUCACUAGAUAUUGGCGACAUACAGUCAGUGUCCAAGCGAAAGUGAUAAGUGAUCCACCUGGGGAAUACGGCCGCAAGGUUAA